Non-coding RNA from Marmota flaviventris (yellow-bellied marmot), 290 nucleotides. NCBI's taxonomy places the organism in Eukaryota, Metazoa, Chordata, Mammalia, Rodentia, Sciuridae. The record is from RefSeq and is a predicted model, not a curated record.
GAUUGCGAGUUCAAAGCCAGUCUCAGCAAAGAGGAGAGACUCUUAUGCUGAUAGACCUAAAAUCAAUUAUGAUGAAGAUUUCUGGAGAAGCUAAGUUACGAUGUUCUGUGGAGAAGGGGGUGCCACUACAAAGAGUGUCCAGACCUUCUGCUCCAGAAAGGAUUUUUAUUUGACAAAUCACCAAGAAUCUCCUUAUGAAAAUGCAAGAUUUCUCCAAGGUCUGUGGAAUACUGGCAGAAUGGUAGAGAGACUUGCUUCAAACCUGACUGUGCUGCUUAGCAACAAUUUCA